This 250-nucleotide ribosomal RNA is filed under the name uncultured bacterium. RNAcentral describes it as "partial 16S ribosomal RNA". It matches the Rfam family "Bacterial small subunit ribosomal RNA", at positions 524 to 773 of the family's 1533-position model. The record is from RNAcentral.
UACGAACCGUCCAAACGUUAUUCGGAAUCACUGGGCUUAAAGGGUGCGUAGGCUGCGCUGUAAGUUGGGUGUGAAAGCCCUCGGCUUAACCGAGGAAUUGCGCUCAAUACUGCUGUGCUUGAGGGAGAUAGAGGUGAGCGGAACUUAGGGUGGAGCGGUGAAAUGCGUUGAUAUCCUAAGGAACACCUGGGGCGAAAGCGGCUCACUGGAUCUUUUCUGACGCUGAUGCACGAAAGCUAGGGUAGCGAAC